RNAcentral lists this ribosomal RNA (160 nucleotides) under uncultured bacterium. RNAcentral describes it as "partial 16S ribosomal RNA". It matches the Rfam family "Bacterial small subunit ribosomal RNA", at positions 355 to 507 of the family's 1533-position model. The record is from RNAcentral. RNAcentral also lists the same sequence under 1 other name.
UGGGGAAUAUUGCACAAUGGGGGAAACCCUGAUGCAGCCAUGCCGCGUGUGUGAAGAAGGCCUUCGGGUUGUAAAGCACUUUCAGCGAGGAGGAAAGGUCAGUAGCUAAUAUCUGCUGACUGUGACGUUACUCGCAGAAGAAGCACCGGCUAACUCCGUG